This is a non-coding RNA of Parasteatoda tepidariorum (common house spider), 2552 nucleotides long. Lineage: Eukaryota; Metazoa; Arthropoda; Arachnida; Araneae; Theridiidae. The record is from RefSeq and is a predicted model, not a curated record.
UCACAUUUUUUAUUGAAAUGUGUCUGUCUCGUUAUUUUUCCUAUAACCUUUUAGGUUUACAGCUGGAAAAAAUCGAAAUACUGUAUAUAGAACCUAAACCUUGAAAGCGACGCAGUAGCCAGGAAUGACGUAGGAUUCCGAAAAAUUUCUCUCUUUCUUCAGAACUGCGGUGGGAGAUGAAAAAUUUCUACCUAUCUGGUUAGAUAGAAAAGUUUUCGAAUAGAAUUCUUGCAUUGAAACAGAGACAGAAACUUUGGUUUUGGAGAAAAUGCUGAAAGCAAAGAAGAAUAAAUCCUACAAAGAAAGAUUCUUUCGAGAUUACAAAGGGCAAGGAAUGUUCGGCAGUGAAGUAAUCCAAAAGCUGAAAAAGCGUCUGAAAGAGAAUAAACUUCUGGAAACAAGAAGCGAUCAUCGAUUCUUAAAAGUAACAUUCACACUAAUCUUGUAUCUGUUGCAUGGUUGAAUGUCUGGUAUUGUUAUUCAAAAGAUAUUUAUUUGUAUAUAUUUGUAUAUAUUUGCAUACAUUCUACUAAAAAAUUAAUUGUCCUCAAGUUAAAAGGUUAAAAGUUUAAAACAUAAAAAAAAAAAAUUAAAAAUUUCUAAAUUGUUUUCAAGGUUGUAUCUAAGUUUUCCCAAACCAAGAAAAAUUAUUAAAAAAUUCCACUGAAAAGUUGGAGAUCGUCAAAAGUGCUGACCUAAAUGUUCUGUGAUUAAAACGCAGCAAAAUAGUAAUGCUUUUACCUUUUUAUGAAGGACUUACUUAAGCAGAAAGUUUAAUACUUCUUUUAUAGUUUUUUUUUCCAUAUAUAUUUUUUCCUUUUUUCUAUAAUUUCUCUAGCUAUUUUUUUUUGUUUUUUUCUUUAUUAUUUUCAAUUGAAUUUGCAAUAUCCUCUAUAAAAUGAUUGGUAUUUAUUUAAAAAUUUUAUAAUUUACUUGAAAGAUUUUUCGAUGAUUUUUUAAAGAUUUGAAAUGAUUGAAAGAUUUUCUUUUAUCAAUCUCGUUUGUUUGAAAAAACAAAAAUAAUUAUCCAUUGCUACUGAAAGAAAAUUAUGAUUUCAUUUCAACACUUUUACUAUUAUGUUGUGAAAUAUAAUGCAUAGACAUAUGUUACAUUCACCAUUUAUAAUUUGAAAUUAAUAGGUGAAUUAAAACGGAAAAGUUUUGUAUUUUAUAUUUACUACAUCCAGUCUUUUAGAUUGUUUAUUUAUGUAAGUUUUAAUUUAAACGAAAAGGAAAUAAGCAUGAUUUUAUAUUAAAUUACCGAAGAGCACUAAAUUGCUUGCUCUUCAAAUUCAUAGUUUAUACCAAACGUUCUAUUUAAAAUAAGUAGCAAGUUCUAUAAAAACUAAGGCAUAGCGGAACUAUAGAAAAUACGUUCCUUUGAUGUCACAGCGGUAUAUUUUUAACACUAGUAAAUGACUUAUUUUCUGCGUUAAACAAUUAAUAAAACUUAGAUUGACAUUUAUGUAUUUGUAAUAUUUUUCAUUCUUGUUAAUUGUAUUAUACUGUAUCGCACAUAGUUCAUUGUUAAGUAUUUUAUUGAAUAACAAUGUAUUGAGCUGCAUUUUCUCAUCCUAUUGUUUUGUAUUAUAUGUCAUAUAUUGUUCAGCUCGUUUUAAACAUUUUUUACUUACUGUUUAUAAAUGAAAGCAUAAGAUACUAUCGUCAAUGUUUUGUUUAUUAUUUAGCAUUUGAUCUCUCAUCGGGAUGUGUUUCGGCGAUAUUCUGCAAACAGCAAAAUGAGAGUUUCUAAAUUUAUGAAUUUUUAUUGUAUUUUUAUUUUAAUUUUGAUUAUUUAAAUUAAAAAAAAGCCUUAGUCAGCAUCAAGAAGUAGUGAUAUCGUUGUAUUUAUGUGAUAAUUUUGUGUCUUUUACUUGAAAUUAAUUUUAUUGAUUUUUUUACUUCUCUUAUAAACUUUUAACUUGUAAUUUGAUGUGAUUUUCAUUUUCUAAUUGUUUUAAGAAACUCCACUAAUUUUUAAUGAUAUUAAGAGACCUCAGUAGCUUGUAGAAUCAAACUAAUCGAAAAAUAUAUGAGUAAUGGUUUGUGUAAUGGUUUAUAGUUACUUAAAUAAUGUUUUCAUAACAUUAAGUAAUACCGAUUUUAAUUUAAAUAUAUAAGAAACAAGCAAUUAUUUAGAAAAAAAGGUAUUCAUUACAAAUCCACUGUUUAUACCUCACAAUACGGCAGAUAAGAAUUUCAAUUUAAACUAAUAAAAAAUAAAACGAUGGAAAAUGUGUUAUUUAUGUUCUAUGUUAUGUUCUACUUAUGUUAUUAUGUAAAUUUAUGUUCUGCUUCUAAUAGUUGUGAGAAACAAGAAUGGAGUUUCUGUUUUUGAAUUGUUUUUAAUUGAUUGCAUUAUGAAGUAUUGCAUGGUAUUUUCAUACGCAUUAUUGUACUGUACCUUGUUGCAUUGUACCUUUUUGUAUUGCAUCGUUUUAUUGCAUAUAAUAUUGUGUAUCGUUUGCAUGUAUUGUACAACAUAUAAAAUAUUUAUUACUGUAUUGUAUACGUAUUGGAAGCAUGAGAUAAAAACUUUAUUUUGUUUAUUA